GGGGAAUAUUGCACAAUGGGGGAAACCCUGAUGCAGCGACGCCGCGUGAAGGAAGAAGGUAUUCGUAUUGUAAACUUCUGUCGCAGAUGACGAAAAGAUGACGGUAAUCUGCAAGAAAGCACCGGCUAACUACGUGCCAGCAGCCGCGGUAAAACGUAGGGUGCUAGCGUUGUCCGGAAUUACUGGGUGUAAAGGGAGCGCAGGUGGCAGUGCAAGUUGGAUGUAAAAUCUACGGGCUCAACCCGUAUAAGCAUUCAAAACUGUGCAGCUUGAGUGAAGUAGAGGUAGGUGGAAUUUCCGGUGUAGCGGUGGAAUGCGUAGAUAUCGGAAGGAACAUCAGUGGCGAAGGCGACCUACUGGGCUUUAACUGACGCUGAGGCUCGAAAGCAUGGGUAGCAAACAGGAUUAGAUACCCUGGUAGUCCAUGCUGUAAACGAUGAUUACUAGGUGUGGGGGCGAAAGCUUCCGUGCCGGAGUUAACACAAUAAGUAAUCCACCUGGGGAGUACGACCGCAAGGUUGAAACUCAAAGGAAUUGACGGGGGCCCGCACAAGCAGUGGAGUAUGUGGUUUAAUUCGAAGCAACGCGAAGAACCUUACCAGGUCUUGACAUCGUGCGCAUAGGCAAGAGAUUGCUGAAAUCACUCUUUGAGUGACGUAUAGACAGGUGGUGCAUGGUUGUCGUCAGCUCGUGUCGUGAGAUGUUGGGUUAAGUCCCGCAACGAGCGCAACCCUUAUCAUUAGUUACUACGAAAGAGGACUCUAAUGAGACUGCCGUUGAGAAAACGGAGGAAGGUGGGGAUGACGUCAAAUCAUCAUGCCCCUUAUGACCUGGGCUACACACGUACUACAAUGGCUGUCAACAAAGUGAACCAAAUACGCGAGUAAGAGGGAAACACAAAAAACAGUCACAGUUCGGAUUGUAGGCUGCAACUCGCCUACAUGAAGCCGGAAUUGCUAGUAAUCGCGGAUCAGCAUGCCGCGGUGAAUACGUUCCCG
RNAcentral lists this ribosomal RNA (998 nucleotides) under uncultured bacterium. Its description in RNAcentral is "bacterial SSU rRNA". It matches the Rfam family "Bacterial small subunit ribosomal RNA", at positions 356 to 1376 of the family's 1533-position model. The record is from RNAcentral.